UACGUAGGGGGCAAGCGUUGUCCGGAAUCAUUGGGCGUAAAGAGCGUGUAGGCGGCCAGGUAGGUCUGCUGUGAAAACUCGAGGCUCAACCUCGAGAUGUCGGCGGAAACCAUCUGGCUAGAGUCCGGAAGAGGAGAGUAGAAUUCCUGGUGUAGCGGUGAAAUGCGCAGAUAUCAGGAGGAAUACCCGUGGCGAAAGCGACUCUCUGGGACGGUACUGACGCUGAGACGCGAAAGCGUGGGGAGCAAACAGG
This 253-nucleotide ribosomal RNA is filed under the name uncultured bacterium. RNAcentral describes it as "partial 16S ribosomal RNA". It matches the Rfam family "Bacterial small subunit ribosomal RNA", at positions 524 to 776 of the family's 1533-position model. The record is from RNAcentral.